AAAAUUUGCCGAAUUCCUUUAAAUUAUUUUUAAAUAAAUUUUAUUUUUAUUUUUUUUUUCAUAUACUAAUUUUAUCAUUAUAACUAAUUUUUUUUUAUUAUAAAUUUUUUUUUUAUAUAAAUUUAAAUAUUAAAUUAAAUUUUAUUUUAAUUAAAAUUAUUUAUAAUAAAUUAUAAUUUUUAAACAAUAUAAAUUUUAAAAAUUUUAAUCAUUAAGUUUAAUUUUAUUAUAAAUAUUUAAAUUAAAGCUUAUCCCCUAAAAUAUUAAAUAUUAAAUUUUUAUAAUUAAUUUAAAAAAUUAUAAAAUUAUUUAAAUUUAAAAUUAAAUUUUUUUCUAAAAAAACUAGAUAUAUUUAAAAACGAUUAACAUUUCAUUUCUAAUUAAUUAUUAAAAAUAAUUAUACAACAUUAACUUUAUUAAUUAAUUAACUCUUUUAAAUUCGAGAUUUAUUUAAAUAAAUUAUUUUUAUUUAAUAAACUCUGAUACACAAGAUACAAUAAAUUAAAUUUACUUUUAAAUUAAUUAAUUUCACAUAUUUAUAAUUUCCUUUACAGUAAUAUUUCACUAUAAACUUAUUAAUUUUUUCUAUUAAAAAUACUUAAACCCCCAUUUUUUCUUUUUAAUAUUAAAAAUUUUUUUAUUAAACUUACAUCAUUAAUUUAACCCC
RNAcentral lists this ribosomal RNA (667 nucleotides) under Chlosyne lacinia (bordered patch butterfly). RNAcentral describes it as "partial 16S ribosomal RNA". The record is from RNAcentral. Lineage: Eukaryota; Metazoa; Arthropoda; Insecta; Lepidoptera; Nymphalidae.